GGGAUGGAAGCGGAUACCCCGCUGAAGCCCUGUGCGGUGGGGCUGCGGCGGAGUAGCAGCGUAUAGCCCG
This 70-nucleotide unclassified non-coding RNA is filed under the name Niabella drilacis. Its description in RNAcentral is "Flavo-1 RNA". Lineage: Bacteria; Pseudomonadati; Bacteroidota; Chitinophagia; Chitinophagales; Chitinophagaceae. The record is from RNAcentral.